Molecule: ribosomal RNA, 497 nt
Filed under: uncultured bacterium
Lineage: Bacteria
Description: partial 16S ribosomal RNA
Rfam family: Bacterial small subunit ribosomal RNA
Source: RNAcentral
GAUGAACGCUGGCGGCGUGCCUAAUACAUGCAAGUCGAGCGAACGGACGAGAAGCUUGCUUCUCUGAUGUUAGCGGCGGACGGGUGAGUAGCACGUGGAUAACCUACCUAUAAGACUGGGAUAACUUCGGGAAACCGGAGCUAAUACCGGAUAAUAUUUUGAACCGCAUGGUUCAAAAGUGAAAGACGGUCUUGCUGUCACUUAUAGAUGGAUCCGCGCUGCAUUAGCUAGUUGGUAAGGUAACGGCUUACCAAGGCAACGAUGCAUAGCCGACCUGAGAGGGUGAUCGGCCACACUGGAACUGAGACACGGUCCAGACUCCUACGGGAGGCAGCAGUAGGGAAUCUUCCGCAAUGGGCGAAAGCAUGACGGAGCAACGCCGCGUGAGUGAUGAAGGUCUUCGGAUCGUAAAACUCUGUUAUUAGGGAAGAACAUAUGUGUAAGUAACUGUGCACAUCUUGACGGUACCUAAUCAGAAAGCCACGGCUAACUACGUG